AACGCUCCGGCGAGAAGAAAAGGCUAGGGAUCCAAGAGUAAUCCAAUUCGGAGUAAACCUUCGGAUUUAAGAUACAGGUGUUAGAGAUCCUCAAUAGGCGCAUCGUUGAAGAUCAUUUCUUUUCAGCUAUUUGGUGAGUCCUUCUUGUAUUCGAAGGAACUCCUUAUCCUUUUAUUAUUGUUGAGUGUGAUGUUUCUUUUGAGGUAGCCAUGGACAUGUCAUUGGCACCAUCUAAGAGUAUUAGAGGCUUCAUAGACAGAGUCUGAUGAUGUAAUCGGAGUAGUUCUCCUUAGAAACUAUUUCUUCUAAGAAUUAUAUAUUUUUCCUUUGAUUAUGACAAUCCCACAUUAGUA
Solanum dulcamara is the source of this 353-nucleotide long non-coding RNA. RefSeq lists it as uncharacterized. The transcript has 2 exons. The record is from RefSeq and is a predicted model, not a curated record. Lineage: Eukaryota; Viridiplantae; Streptophyta; Magnoliopsida; Solanales; Solanaceae.